GGACGAACGCUGGCGGCGUGCCUAACACAUGCAAGUCGAGCGGAGGCAUUUGAGGAGUAAUCUGAGGGUGUCUGAGCGGCGGACGGGUGAGUAACGCGUGAGCGAUCUGCCUUUCACAGGGGGAUAACGCAGCGAAAGCUGCACUAAUACCGCAUGAGACCACAGUACUGAUGGUACAGGGGUCAAAGGAGAGAUCCGGUGAGAGAUGAGCUCGCGUCCGAUUAGGUAGUUGGUGAGGUAACGGCCCACCAAGCCAAUGAUCGGUAGCCGGCCUGAGAGGGUGAACGGCCACAUUGGAACUGAGAGACGGUCCAAACUCCUACGGGAGGCAGCAGUGGGGAAUAUUGGGCAAUGGGGGAAACCCUGACCCAGCAACGCCGCGUGAGGGAAGAAGGUUUUCGGAUUGUAAACCUCUGUUCUUGGAGAAGAGAAGGAGACGGUAUCCAAGGAGGAAGCCCCGGCUAACUACGUGCCAGCAGCCGCGGUAAUACGUAGGGGGCGAGCGUUGUCCGGAAUGAUUGGGCGUAAAGGGCGCGUAGGCGGCCGAGCAAGUCAGUAGUGGAAGUCCAAUUUUCAAGGUUGGAAGUGCUAUUGAAACUGCAGGGCUUGAGUGCAGGAGAGGUUAUCGGAAUUCCCGGUGUAGCGGUGAAAUGCGUAGAGAUCGGGAGGAACACCAGUGGCGAAGGCGGGUAACUGGACUGCAACUGACGCUGAGGCGCGAAAGUGUGGGGAGCAAACAGGAUUAGAUACCCUGGUAGUCCACACGGUAAACGAUGAAUGCUAGGUGUAGGGGGUAUCGACCCCUUCUGUGCCGGAGUAAACACAAUAAGCAUUCCGCCUGGGGAGUACGGUCGCAAGAUUAAAACUCAAAGGAAUUGACGGGGGCCCGCACAAGCAGCGGAGCAUGUGGUUUAAUUCGAAGCAACGCGCAGAACCUUACCUACCCUUGACAUGUCCAGUAUGGGUUUCAGAGAUGAGAUCCUUCAGUUCGGCUGGCUGGAACACAGGUGCUGCAUGGCUGUCGUCAGCUCGUGUCGUGAGAUGUUGGGUUAAGUCCCGCAACGAGCGCAACCCUCGCCUUUAGUUGCCAUCAUUUAGUUGGGCACUCUAGAGGGACUGCCGGUGAUAAGCCGGAGGAAGGUGGGGAUGACGUCAAGUCCUCAUGGCCCUUACGGGUAGGGCUACACACGUGCUACAAUGGUGGUGACAGUGGGCAGCGACACAGUGAUGUGAUGCUAAUCUCAAAAAGCCAUCUCAGUUCAGAUUGUACUCUGCAACUCGAGUACAUGAAGUUGGAAUCGCUAGUAAUCGUAGAACAGCAUGCUACGGUGAAUACGUUCCCGGGCCU
RNAcentral lists this ribosomal RNA (1348 nucleotides) under uncultured bacterium. RNAcentral describes it as "bacterial SSU rRNA". It matches the Rfam family "Bacterial small subunit ribosomal RNA", at positions 27 to 1381 of the family's 1533-position model. The record is from RNAcentral.